RNAcentral lists this ribosomal RNA (1346 nucleotides) under uncultured bacterium. RNAcentral describes it as "partial 16S ribosomal RNA". It matches the Rfam family "Bacterial small subunit ribosomal RNA", at positions 28 to 1381 of the family's 1533-position model. The record is from RNAcentral.
GACGAACGCUGGCGGCGUGCUUAACACAUGCAAGUCGAACGGAAAGGCCCUGCUUUUGUGGGGUGCUCGAGUGGCGAACGGGUGAGUAACACGUGAGUAACCUGCCCUUGACUUUGGGAUAACUUCAGGAAACUGGGGCUAAUACCGGAUAGGAGCUCCUGCUGCAUGGUGGGGGUUGGAAAGUUUCGGCGGUUGGGGAUGGACUCGCGGCUUAUCAGCUUGUUGGUGGGGUAGUGGCUUACCAAGGCUUUGACGGGUAGCCGGCCUGAGAGGGUGACCGGCCACAUUGGGACUGAGAUACGGCCCAGACUCCUACGGGGGGCAGCAGUGGGGAAUAUUGCACAAUGGGCGGAAGCCUGAUGCAGCAACGCCGCGUGCGGGAUGACGGCCUUCGGGUUGUAAACCGCUUUCGCCCGUGACGAAGCGUGAGUGACGGUAAUGGGUAAAGAAGCACCGGCUAACUACGUGCCAGCAGCCGCGGUGAUACGUAGGGUGCGAGCGUUGUCCGGAUUUAUUGGGCGUAAAGGGCUCGUAGGUGGUUGAUCGCGUCGGAAGUGUAAUCUUGGGGCUUAACCCUGAGCGUGCUUUCGAUACGGGUUGACUUGAGGAAGGUAGGGGAGAAUGGAAUUCCUGGUGGAGCGGUGGAAUGCGCAGAUAUCAGGAGGAACACCAGUGGCGAAGGCGGUUCUCUGGGCCUUUCCUGACGCUGAGGAGCGAAAGCGUGGGGAGCGAACAGGCUUAGAUACCCUGGUAGUCCACGCUGUAAACGGUGGGUACUAGGUGUGGGGUCCAUUCCACGGGUUCCGUGCCGUAGCUAACGCUUUAAGUACCCCGCCUGGGGAGUACGGCCGCAAGGCUAAAACUCAAAGGAAUUGACGGGGCCCCGCACAAGCGGCGGAGCAUGCGGAUUAAUUCGAUGCAACGCGUAGAACCUUACCUGGGUUUGACAUGGAUCGGGAGUGCUCAGAGAUGGGUGUGCCUCUUUUGGGGUCGGUUCACAGGUGGUGCAUGGCUGUCGUCAGCUCGUGUCGUGAGAUGUUGGGUUAAGUCCCGCAACGAGCGCAACCCUUGUUCACUGUUGCCAGCACGUUAUGGUGGGGACUCAGUGGAGACCGCCGGGGUCAACUCGGAGGAAGGUGGGGAUGACGUCAAGUCAUCAUGCCCCUUAUGUCCAGGGCUUCACGCAUGCUACAAUGGCUGGUACAGAGAGUGGCGAGCCUGUGAGGGUGAGCGAAUCUCGGAAAGCCGGUCUCAGUUCGGAUUGGGGUCUGCAACUCGACCUCAUGAAGUCGGAGUCGCUAGUAAUCGCAGAUCAGCAACGCUGCGGUGAGUACGUUCCCGGGGCU